RNAcentral lists this ribosomal RNA (761 nucleotides) under uncultured organism. Its description in RNAcentral is "bacterial SSU rRNA". It matches the Rfam family "Bacterial small subunit ribosomal RNA", at positions 680 to 1430 of the family's 1533-position model. The record is from RNAcentral.
GGUGGAAUGCGUAGAUAUCAAGAGGAACGCCGGAGCUGAAGACGGUGCACUGGGCCUGUUCUGACGCUGAGCUGCGAAAGCGUGGGGAGCAAACGGGAUUAGAUACCCCGGUAGUCCACGCCGUACACGAUGCCUACUAGCUUGUGGGAGUUCAGACGCUCUCACAGCCGCAGCAAAAGUGUUAAGUAGACCGCCUGGGGAGUACGACCGCAAGGUUAAGACUCAAAGGAAUUGACGGGGGCUCACACAAGCGCUGGAGCAUGUGGAUUAAUUCGAAGCAACGCGCAGAACAUUACCUGGGUUUGACAUGCUUGGAUGCAUGCCUGGAAACAGGUUAGACUGCCCUUCGGCGUGAAACUUGCACAGGUGCUGCAUGGCUGUCGUCAGCUCGUGUCGUGAGAUGUCGGGUUAAGUCCUUUAACGAGCGAAACCCUUGCCGUUAGUUGCCAGCGGGUCAUGCCGGGGACUCUAACGGGACUGCCGGUGUUAAACCGGAGGAAGGUGGGGAUGACGUCAAGUCCUCAUGGCCUUUAUGCCCAGGGCUUCACACGUGCUACAAUGGCAGGUACAGAGGGAUGCGAGACCGCAAGGUGGAGCGAAGCCCAAAAAACGUGCCUCAGUUCGGAUUCCAGGCUGUCAAUUCGCCUGCAUGAAGUUGGAAUCGCUAGUAAUCGCGUAUCAGCUAUGACGCGGUGAAUGUGUUCCUGAGCAUUGUACACACCGCCCGUCAAGUGAUGGAAGCCGGGAGUACCCGAAGUCGG